AUAGUAGUGUCAGAGUUUGAUCCUGGCUCAGGAUGAACGCUGACAGAAUGCUUAACACAUGCAAGUCGAGGGGUAACAGGCGGUAGCAAUACUGUGCUGACGACCGGCGGAUGGGUGAGUAACGCGUAUGCAAUCUACCUUUUACCCGGGGAUAGCCCAUGGAAACGUGGAUUAAUACCCGAUGCAUUUCUUUUGUGGCCUCAUGAAGGGAAUAAAGAUUUAUCGGUAAGAGAUGAGCAUGCGUUCCAUUAGGAAGUUGGUAAGGUAACGGCUUACCAAUCCGAUGAUGGAUAGGGGUUCUGAGAGGAAGGUCCCCCACACUGGAAUUGAGAAACGGUCCAG
This 342-nucleotide ribosomal RNA is filed under the name uncultured bacterium. RNAcentral describes it as "bacterial SSU rRNA". It matches the Rfam family "Bacterial small subunit ribosomal RNA", at positions 1 to 334 of the family's 1533-position model. The record is from RNAcentral.